AUGCGUCUUGCGAAGCAAAUAGAGCCGGUGGCGGUGAAGGUGGAGAGAAAAAGGGCAAGAGCAAAAGCAGCAGCUAUGGUGUUCUCCUUUUCACGAUUUUUUACGCUUUGGACAGAAGGUGCAGGUUUUUUGGUGAUGAAUCUAUGCAAGAACUGUGAUGCCUUUGGUGUUCAAUUUUUCUGUUUUGCUUUCUUUCCAAAUUUUGGUGCUAAUAAAGCAAAACAGGUUGAAGAUUGGUGGAGUUUUGUAGAAGAAAGCAUGGUUUAG
Molecule: non-coding RNA, 267 nt
Organism: Vicia faba (fava bean)
Lineage: Eukaryota; Viridiplantae; Streptophyta; Magnoliopsida; Fabales; Fabaceae
Source: the annotation of a GenBank genome assembly